Molecule: ribosomal RNA, 565 nt
Filed under: uncultured archaeon
Lineage: Archaea
Description: bacterial SSU rRNA
Rfam family: Archaeal small subunit ribosomal RNA
Source: RNAcentral
CUACGACGGGUACGGGUUGUGAGAGCAAGAGCCCGGAGAUGGAUUCUGAGACACGAAUCCAGGCCCUACGGGGUGCAGCAGGCGCGAAAACUUUACAAUGCCGGCAACGGCGAUAAGGGGACCUCGAGUGCCAGGUUACAAAUCUGGCUGUCGUGAUGCCUAAAAAGCAUUGCAUAGCAAGGGCCGGGCAAGACCGGUGCCAGCCGCCGCGGUAACACCGGCGGCUCGAGUGGUAACCGUUAUUAUUGGGUCUAAAGGGUCUGUAGCCGGCCGGAUAAGUCUCUUGAGAAAUCCAGCAGCUCAACUGUUGGGCUUUCAGGAGAUACUGUUCGGCUCGAGGCCGGGAGAGGUGAGAGGUACUUCAGGGGUAGGGGUGAAAUCUUGUAAUCCUUGAAGGACCACCAGUGGCGAAGGCGUCUCACCAGAACGGACCUGACGGCAAGGGACGAAAGCUAGGGGCACGAACCGGAUUAGAUACCCGGGUAGUCCUAGCCGUAAACGAUACUCGCUAGGUGUCGGCCACGGUGCGACCGUUGUCGGUGCCGUAGGGAAGCCGGAAGCGAGC